RNAcentral lists this ribosomal RNA (497 nucleotides) under uncultured bacterium. RNAcentral's name for it is "partial 16S ribosomal RNA". It matches the Rfam family "Bacterial small subunit ribosomal RNA", at positions 28 to 507 of the family's 1533-position model. The record is from RNAcentral.
GAUGAACGCUGGCGGCGUGCCUAAUACAUGCAAGUCGAGCGAACAGAUGAGGAGCUUGCUCCUCUGACGUUAGCGGCGGACGGGUGAGUAACACGUGGAUAACCUACCUAUAAGACUGGGAUAACUUCGGGAAACCGGAGCUAAUACCGGAUAAUAUAUUGAACCGCAUGGUUCAAUAGUGAAAGCCGGUUUUGCUGUCACUUAUAGAUGGAUCCGCGCCGCAUUAGCUAGUUGGUAGGGUAACGGCUUACCAAGGCAACGAUGGGUAGCCGACCUGAGAGGGUGAUCGGCCACACUGGAAGUGAGACACGGUCCAGACUCCUACGGGAGGCAGCAGUAGGUAAUGUUGCGAGAUGGGCGGAAGCCUGACGGAGCAACGCCGCGUGGGUGAUGAAGGUCCUCGGGUCGUAAAACUCUGUUAUUAGGGAAGAACAAAUGUGUAAGUAACUAUGCACGUCUUGACGGUACCUAAUCAGAAAGCCACGGCUAACUACGUG